This 354-nucleotide ribosomal RNA is filed under the name uncultured bacterium. RNAcentral's name for it is "bacterial SSU rRNA". It matches the Rfam family "Bacterial small subunit ribosomal RNA", at positions 1037 to 1390 of the family's 1533-position model. The record is from RNAcentral.
GGUGUUGCAUGGCUGUCGUCAGCUCGUGUCGUGAGAUGUUGGGUUAAGUCCCGCAACGAGCGCAACCCUCAUCCUUAGUUACCAUCAGGUAAUGCUGGGGACUUUAAGGAAACUGCCAGUGAUAAACUGGAGGAAGGUGGGGAUGAUGUCAAGUCGUCAUGGCCCUUAUGGAGUGGGCUACACACGUGCUACAAUGGUGGCUACAAUGGGCUGCAAAGUCGCGAGGCUAAGCUAAUCCCUUAAAAGCCAUCUCAGUUCGGAUUGUACUCUGCAACUCGAGUGCAUGAAGUUGGAAUCGCUAGUAAUCGUGGAUCAGCACGCCACGGUGAAUACGUUCCCGGGUCUUGUACACAC